GGGGUCUUAGCUCAAUUGGUUAGAGCGUCGGCCUGUCACGCCGAAGGUUGCGGGUUCAAGUCCCGUAGAUCCCGCCA
RNAcentral lists this transfer RNA (77 nucleotides) under Verrucomicrobiota bacterium. RNAcentral's name for it is "Verrucomicrobia bacterium tRNA-Asp". It matches the Rfam family "tRNA". Rfam says of the family: Transfer RNA (tRNA) molecules are approximately 80 nucleotides in length. Their secondary structure includes four short double-helical elements and three loops (D, anti-codon, and T loops). Further hydrogen bonds mediate the characteristic L-shaped molecular structure. tRNAs have two regions of fundamental functional importance: the anti-codon, which is responsible for specific mRNA codon recognition, and the 3' end, to which the tRNAs corresponding amino acid is attached (by aminoacyl-tRNA synthetases). tRNAs cope with the degeneracy of the genetic code in two manners: having more than one tRNA (with a specific anti-codon) for a particular amino acid; and 'wobble' base-pairing, i.e. permitting non-standard base-pairing at the 3rd anti-codon position. RNAcentral also lists the same sequence under 3 other names. Lineage: Bacteria; Pseudomonadati; Verrucomicrobiota. The record is from RNAcentral.